RNAcentral lists this long non-coding RNA (1045 nucleotides) under Equus asinus (donkey). RNAcentral describes it as "lncRNA (ENSEASG00005029103.1)". Lineage: Eukaryota; Metazoa; Chordata; Mammalia; Perissodactyla; Equidae. The record is from RNAcentral.
CGAGCAAAUACAACGGUUGUUUUAUGCCAUUAAGUUACACAGCAAGAGAUGACUGGGACAUGCAUCCCAUUUCGUAUCGAUGAAUUCAGUACAGUAACAGAGAGGCCGCCUCUGAUGAAACUACAAGAUAGCUAAAACCACAAAAAGAGUGAAGGAGGUGCUCAAUGCAGUGGAGAUAAAGAAACAGUGGGGGAGAAAAGCAGGGAGAGGAUGCCCACUGCUCGGAUCUCAGGCAGAGCCAGCAAAGAGCAGUCCCGAGGUGGUAACAGCAAAGCCUCAGGCGUGACCAUGUGGAGGAUGCUGAGGCCAGGUGAACGGCAGGUCACAGAUUAGCCCUGAGCUAACUGCUGCCAUCCUCCUCUUUUUGCUGAGGAAGACUGUCCUGAGCUAACAUCCGUGCCCAUCUUCCUCUACUUUAUAUGUGGGAUGCCUACCACAGCAUGGCUUGCCAAGAGGUGCCAUGUCCACACCCGGGAUCCAAACUGGUGAACCCCGGGCCGCCGAGAAGCAGAAUGUGUGAACUUAAUCGCUGCGCCACUAGGCUGGCCCCCACAUAAAGGUUUUAAGAAAACAAAUCUUCCCAUGUGAUCCUGACGUGCAACUACGUUUAGAGACCCCUGCUCCAGAGCCUAGCUGGAGCCACACUGUAAUCCACCCAGGAGAGUGACCCAGGAAUUCAUGAUAAUAGCCACUGGGGGGCCAGCGGGUGGCACAGCCAAAUGAACAGGAGUUUUUACAUCCAUGGUCCCCAGCUGCACCCCUCCGCCUUGAGAAUCUCCACUCAAGAACCCGGAAUUCACGCCGAACAAGGGGCAACAACCCAGGCAGAAUCUCAAGCAGGAGCCACUUUCUCCUGUCGGUAACAGACCUGGUAGUUUUAUUCAUUUACUUUAACGAUAAACAUGAAUUUCUUUUAUUUAGUAUAAUAAAGUGGGAAUUAACAUUUUGGGGGAAAUCAUUCUGAGGCUGUCAAUGACACCAGUAAAUUCUGGACCUUCCACUUUAGAUCUAAUAAAUUUGAAUGCAAACUUAAAUAAUAAUGAAA